AGGAAGGUGGCUCAGUGGUAGAGUGUUUGCCUUGCAUGCAUGAAGCUCUGAGUUCGAAUCCUUACUA
RNAcentral lists this transfer RNA (67 nucleotides) under Dipodomys ordii (Ord's kangaroo rat). It matches the Rfam family "tRNA". From Rfam's summary of the family: Transfer RNA (tRNA) molecules are approximately 80 nucleotides in length. Their secondary structure includes four short double-helical elements and three loops (D, anti-codon, and T loops). The record is from Rfam by way of RNAcentral. Lineage: Eukaryota; Metazoa; Chordata; Mammalia; Rodentia; Heteromyidae.